AGAGUUUGAUCCUGGCUCAGAGCGAACGCUGGCGGCAGGCCUAACACAUGCAAGUCGAACGGAUCCUUCGGGAUUAGUGGCGGACGGGUGAGUAACACGUGGGAACGUGCCCUUUGGUUCGGAACAACUCAGGGAAACUUGAGCUAAUACCGGAUGUGCCCUACGGGGGAAAGAUUUAUCGCCAUUGGAGCGGCCCGCGUCUGAUUAGCUAGUUGGUGAGGUAAAGGCUCACCAAGGCAACGAUCAGUAGCUGGUCUGAGAGGAUGAUCAGCCACACUGGGACUGAGACACGGCCCAGACUCCUACGGGAGGCAGCAGUGGGGAAUCUUGCGCAAUGGGCGAAAGCCUGACGCAGCCAUGCCGCGUGAAUGAUGAAGGUCUUAGGAUUGUAAAAUUCUUUCAGCAGGGACGAUAAUGACGGUACCUGCAGAAGAAGCCCCGGCUAACUUCGUGCCAGCAGCCGCGGUAAUACGAAGGGGGCUAGCGUUGCUCGGAAUUACUGGGCGUAAAGGGCGCGUAGGCGGGUCGUUUAGUUAGAGGUGAAAGCCCAGGGCUCAACCCUGGAAUUGCCUUUAAUACUGGCGGCCUUGAGUAUGGCAGAGGUGUGUGGAACUCCGAGUGUAGAGGUGAAAUUCGUAGAUAUUCGGAAGAACACCAGUGGCGAAGGCGACACACUGGGCCAUUACUGACGCUGAGGCGCGAAAGCGUGGGGAGCAAACAGGAUUAGAUACCCUAGUAGUCC
RNAcentral lists this ribosomal RNA (742 nucleotides) under uncultured bacterium. Its description in RNAcentral is "bacterial SSU rRNA". It matches the Rfam family "Bacterial small subunit ribosomal RNA", at positions 8 to 796 of the family's 1533-position model. The record is from RNAcentral.